CCUACGGGAGGCAGCAGUGGGGGAUAUUGCACAAUGGGGGAAACCCUGAUGCAGCGACGCCGCGUGGGCGAAGAAGUAUUUCGGUAUGUAAAGCCCUAUCCGCAGUGAAGAAGAAAUGACGGUACCUGAGUAAGAAGCACCGGCUAAAUACGUGCAAGCAGCCGCGGUAAUACGUAUGGUGCAAGCGUUAUCCGGAUUUACUGGGUGGAAAGGGAGCGCAGGCGGCACGGCAAGCCUGAUGUGAAAGCCCGCGGCCCAACCGGGGGACUGCAUUGGGAACUACCGGGCUGGAGUGCCGGAGAGGUAGGCGGAAUUCCGAGGGGAGCGGUGAAAUGCGUAGAUAUUAGGAGGAACACCAGUGGCGAAGGCGGCCUACUGGACGGUGACUGACGCUGAGGCUCGAAAGCGUGGGGAGCAAACAGGAUUAGAUACCCUUGUAGUC
This 442-nucleotide ribosomal RNA is filed under the name uncultured bacterium. Its description in RNAcentral is "partial 16S ribosomal RNA". It matches the Rfam family "Bacterial small subunit ribosomal RNA", at positions 338 to 795 of the family's 1533-position model. The record is from RNAcentral.